RNAcentral lists this ribosomal RNA (1071 nucleotides) under uncultured bacterium. Its description in RNAcentral is "bacterial SSU rRNA". It matches the Rfam family "Bacterial small subunit ribosomal RNA", at positions 328 to 1401 of the family's 1533-position model. The record is from RNAcentral.
GGUCCAAACUCCUACGGGAGGCAGCAGUCAGGAAUAUUGGUCAAUGGACGGAAGUCUGAACCAGCCAAGUAGCGUGCAGGAUGACGGCCCUAUGGGUUGUAAACUGCUUUUGUAUGGGGAUAAAGUUAGGGACGUGUCCCUAUUUGCAGGUACCAUACGAAUAAGGACCGGCUAAUUCCGUGCCAGCAGCCGCGGUAAUACGGAAGGUCCAGGCGUUAUCCGGAUUUAUUGGGUUUAAAGGGAGCGUAGGCUGGAGAUUAAGUGUGUUGUGAAAUGUAGACGCUCAACGUCUGAAUUGCAGCGCAUACUGGUUUCCUUGAGUACGCACAACGUUGGCGGAAUUCGUCGUGUAGCGGUGAAAUGCUUAGAUAUGACGAAGACUUCCGAUUGCGAAGGCAGCUGACGGGAGCGCAACUGACGCUUAAGCUCGAAGGUGCGGGUAUCAAACAGGAUUAGAUACCCUGGUAGUCCGCACAGUAAACGAUGGAUGCCCGCUGUUGGUACCUGGUAUCAGCGGCUAAGCGAAAGCAUUAAGCAUCCCACCUGGGGAGUACGCCGGCAACGGUGAAACUCAAAGGAAUUGACGGGGGCCCGCACAAGCGGAGGAACAUGUGGUUUAAUUCGAUGAUACGCGAGGAACCUUACCCGGGCUUGAAUUGCAGAGGAAGGAUUUAGAGAUAAUGACGCCCUUCGGGGUCUCUGUGAAGGUGCUGCAUGGUUGUCGUCAGCUCGUGCCGUGAGGUGUCGGCUUAAGUGCCAUAACGAGCGCAACCCCUCUCUUCAGUUGCCAUCAGGUAAUGCUGGGCACUCUGGAGACACUGCCACCGUAAGGUGUGAGGAAGGUGGGGAUGACGUCAAAUCAGCACGGCCCUUACGUCCGGGGCUACACACGUGUUACAAUGGCCGGUACAGAGGGACGGUGUAAUGCAAAUUGCAUCAAAUCUUGAAAGCCGGUCCCAGUUCGGACUGGGGUCUGCAACCCGACCCCACGAAGCUGGAUUCGCUAGUAAUCGCGCAUCAGCCAUGGCGCGGUGAAUACGUUCCCGGGCCUUGCACACACCGCCCGUCAAG